GACGAACGCUGGCGGCGUGCUUAACACAUGCAAGUCGAACGGAAAGGCCCUGCUUUUGUGGGGUGCUCGAGUGGCGAACGGGUGAGUAACACGUGAGUAACCUGCCCUUGACUUUGGGAUAACUUCAGGAAACUGGGGCUAAUACCGGAUAGGAGCUCCUGCUGCAUGGUGGGGGAUGGAAAGUUUCGGCGGUUGGGGAUGGACUCGCGGCUUAUCAGCUUGUUGGUGGGGUAGUGGCUUACCAAGGCUUUGACGGGUAGCCGGCCUGAGAGGGUGACCGGCCACAUUGGGACUGAGAUACGGACCAGACUGCUACGGGAGGCAGCAGUGGGGAAUAUUGCACAAUGGGCGGAAGCCUGAUGCAGCAACGCCGCGUGCGGGAUGACGGCCUUCGGGUUGUAAACCGCUUUCGCCUGUGACGAAGCGUGAGUGACGGUAAUGGGUAAAGAAGCACCGGCUAACUACGUG
Molecule: ribosomal RNA, 468 nt
Filed under: uncultured bacterium
Lineage: Bacteria
Description: partial 16S ribosomal RNA
Rfam family: Bacterial small subunit ribosomal RNA
Source: RNAcentral